AUACGUAGGUGACAAGCGUUAUCCGGAUUUACUGGGCGUAAAGGGCGUGUAGGCGGUCUUGCAAGUCAGAAGUGAAAUUCCUGAGCUCAACUCGGGCGCUGCUUCUGAAACUGCAGGACUUGAGUGCUGGAGGGGAUAGCGGAAUUCCUAGUGGAGUGGUAAAAUGCGCAGAUAUUAGGAAGAACACCGGUGGCGAAGGCGGCUAUCUGGCAAGUAACUGACGCUGAGGCGCGAAAGCGUGGGGAGCAAACAGGAUUAGAUACCCGGGUAGUCCACGCCGUAAACGACGGGCGCUCGUCGUCGGCGGCAGACAGUCGGCGGCCAAGCGAAAGCGAUAAGCGCCCCACCUGGGGAGUACGGUCGCAAGGCUGAAACUCAAAUGAAUUGGCGGGG
RNAcentral lists this ribosomal RNA (393 nucleotides) under uncultured bacterium. Its description in RNAcentral is "partial 16S ribosomal RNA". It matches the Rfam family "Bacterial small subunit ribosomal RNA", at positions 523 to 918 of the family's 1533-position model. The record is from RNAcentral.